This 342-nucleotide ribosomal RNA is filed under the name Triticum aestivum (bread wheat). RNAcentral's name for it is "partial small subunit ribosomal RNA". The record is from RNAcentral. Lineage: Eukaryota; Viridiplantae; Streptophyta; Magnoliopsida; Poales; Poaceae.
AUGCUUUACGGCUUAGAAUCGGGACUUGAAAGACAUUUUGAACAUCAUGGUGCAUAUGAGAUGUUCCAAGAGUUGAAGUUAAUAUUUCAAGAAAAUGCCCGAGUUGAGAGAUAUGAAGUCUCCAACAAGUUCUACAGCUGCAAAAUGGAGGAGAAUAGUUCUGCCAGUGAACACAUACUCAAAAUUUCUGGGUAUCAUAAUCACUUGACUCAGCUGGGAGUUGAUCUUCCAGUUGAUUGUGUCAUUGACAGAGUUCUUCAAUCACUGCCACCAAGCUAUAAAGGCUUCGUGAUGAACUAUAAUAUGCAAGGGAGACUAUUCCCGAGCUCUUCGCGAUGCUAA